ACUCCUACGGGAGGCAGCAGUAGGGAAUCUUCCACAAUGGGCGCAAGCCUGAUGGAGCAACACCGCGUGAGUGAAGAAGGGUUUCGGUUCGUAAAGCUCUGUUGUUAAAGAAGAACACGUAUGAGAGUAACUGUUCAUACGUUGACGGUAUUUAACCAGAAAGUCACGGCUAACUACGUGCCAGCAGCCGCGGUAAUACGUAGGUGGCAAGCGUUAUCCGGAUUUAUUGGGGCGUAAAGAGAGUGCAGGCGGUUUUCUAAGUCUGAUGUGAAAGCCUUCGGCUUAACCGGAGAAGUGCAUCGGAAACUGGAUAACUUGAGUGCAGAAGAGGGUAGUGGAACUCCAUGUGUAGCGGUGGAAUGCGUAGAUAUAUGGAAGAACACCAGUGGCGAAGGCGGCUACCUGGUCUGCAACUGACGCUGAGACUCGAAAGCAUGGGUAGCGAACAGGAUUAGAUACCCUGGUAGGAUAGCG
RNAcentral lists this ribosomal RNA (474 nucleotides) under uncultured bacterium. RNAcentral's name for it is "bacterial SSU rRNA". It matches the Rfam family "Bacterial small subunit ribosomal RNA", at positions 335 to 801 of the family's 1533-position model. The record is from RNAcentral.